Molecule: unclassified non-coding RNA, 222 nt
Filed under: plant metagenome
Description: partial contains small subunit ribosomal RNA, internal transcribed spacer 1, and 5.8S ribosomal RNA
Source: RNAcentral
UCUCCGUAGGUGAACCUGCGGAGGGAUCAUUACAGAGUUCAUGCCCUCACGGGUAGAUCUCCCACCCUGUGUUAUUAUACUUUGUUGCUUUGGCAGGCCGCCCGCGUGGGCUACCGGCUCCAGCUGGUAAGUGCCUGCCAGAGGACCCCAAACUCUGAAUAUUUUAUUGUCUGAGUACUAUAUAAUAGUUUAAAACUUUCAACAACGGAUCUCUUGGCUCUC